Molecule: ribosomal RNA, 494 nt
Filed under: uncultured bacterium
Lineage: Bacteria
Description: partial 16S ribosomal RNA
Rfam family: Bacterial small subunit ribosomal RNA
Source: RNAcentral
GACGAACGCUGGCGGCGUGCCUAAUACAUGCAGGUAGAACGCUGAAGGAGGAGCUUGCUUCUCUGGAUGAGUUGCGAACGGGUGAGUAACGCGUAGGUAACCUGCCUGGUAGCGGGGGAUAACUAUUGGAAACGACAGCUAAUACCGCAUAAGAGUAGAUGUUGCAUGACAUUUGCUUAAAAGGUGCAAUUGCAUCACUACCAGAUGGACCUGCGUUGUAUUAGCUAGUUGGUGGGGUAACGGCUCACCAAGGCGACGAUACAUAGCCGACCUGAGAGGGUGAUCGGCCACACUGGGACUGAGACACGGCCCAGACUCCUACGGGAGGCAGCAGUAGGGAAUCUUCGGCAAUGGACGGAAGUCUGACCGAGCAACGCCGCGUGAGUGAAGAAGGUUUUCGGAUCGUAAAGCUCUGUUGUAAGAGAAGAACGAGUGUGAGAGUGGAAAGUUCACACUGUGACGGUAUCUUACCAGAAAGGGACGGCUAACUACGU